This 26-nucleotide non-coding RNA is filed under the name Homo sapiens (human). Lineage: Eukaryota; Metazoa; Chordata; Mammalia; Primates; Hominidae. The record is from RNAcentral.
UCCUGUGCGGAAACACCUUGCUUGGG